GAAUAUUUGACAAUGGGGGGAACCCUGAUCCAGCCAUGCCGCGUGUGUGAAGAAGGCCUUUUGGUUGUAACACACUUUAUGCUAGGAGGUGGCUACUUAGUUUAAUACUCUCGGAUAGUGGACGUUACUCGCCGAACAAGACCCGGCUAACUCUUUGCCAGCCUCCGCGGUAAUACAGAUGGUGCAAGCGUUAAUCGGAUGUAAUGGGCGUAAAGGGGGUGUAGGUGGCCAAUUAGAUCAAAUGUGAGAUCUCCGAGCUUAACUGUGGAAUUGCAUUCGAUACUGGUUGGCUAGAGUAUGGGAGAGAAUGGUAGAAUUGCAAGUUGAGCGGUGAAAUGCGUAGCGAUCUGGAGGAAUACCGAUGGCAAAGGCAGCCAUCUGGCCUAAUACUGACACUGAGGUGCGAAAGCAUGGGGAGCAAAC
Molecule: ribosomal RNA, 423 nt
Filed under: uncultured bacterium
Lineage: Bacteria
Description: partial 16S ribosomal RNA
Rfam family: Bacterial small subunit ribosomal RNA
Source: RNAcentral